CAUUUAAAGGAGUAAAGCCGAGCUCGAUUAACAAAAUAUCCGCCGCUACUUCUCAUUUUCUGAAAUCUAAAACACUAUCAGAGGAAGGAAAGGGUACAACUUUUGUCGAAACCAACAUGAGAGCUAAGUGGAAGAAGAAGCGUAUGAGGAGGUUGAAGAGGAAGAGACGAAAGAUGAGCCAGCGAUCUAAGUAGUUUCGAGGAACCUGCUUUGUCUUUCUCCCUUUUGAAACCAAACAUUUGUGAGAGUUUUUGUUGGUUUUCUAUCUGAAUUUGAAUGUUUUUGUUGGAAAAAAUGGAUGCUAUGUUUUCUAUCAGGAUUAUGUUAUUACAUGAAAGGAUCCACGUGGGUUCUCGAUUUAAUACUUUUAUUUUUUACA
Molecule: long non-coding RNA, 379 nt
Organism: Brassica oleracea var. oleracea
Lineage: Eukaryota; Viridiplantae; Streptophyta; Magnoliopsida; Brassicales; Brassicaceae
Exons: 2
Source: RefSeq, a predicted model, not a curated record